CACGGGGAGGUAGUGACAAUAAAUACUGAUACAGGGCUCUUUUGGGUCUUGUAAUCGGAAUGAGUACAAUUUAAAUCCCUUAACGAGGAACAAUUGGAGGGCAAGUCUGGUGCCAGCAGCCGCGGUAAUUCCAGCUCCAAUAGCGUAUAUUAAAGUUGUUGUGGUUAAAAAGCUCGUAGUUGAACCUUGGGCCUGGCUGGCCGGUCCCCCUCACCGGGUGCACUGAUCCAGCCGGGCCUUUCCCUCUGUGGAACCCCAUGGCCUUCACUGGCUGUGGGGGGAAAACAGGACUUUUUUUUUAAAAAAAUUAGAGUGCUCCAGGCAGGCCUAUGCUCGAAUACAUUAGCAUGGAAAUAAUAGAAUAGGACGUGUGGUUCUAUUUUGUUGGUUUCUAGGACCGCCGUAAUGAUUAAUAGGGACAGUCGGGGGCAUCAGUAUUCAAUUGUCAGAGGUGAAAUUCUUGGAUCUAUUGAAGACUAACUACUGCGAAAGCAUUUGCCAAGGAUGUUUUCAUUGAUAAGGAACGAAAGUUAGGGGAUCGAAGACGAUCAGAUACCGUCGUAGUCUUAACUAUAAACUAUGCCGACUAGGGAUCGGACGAUGUUAUUCUUUGACGCGUUCGGCACCUUUCGAGAAAUCAAAGUGCUUGGGCUCCAGGGGAGUCUGCUCGUAG
RNAcentral lists this ribosomal RNA (673 nucleotides) under Lomentospora prolificans. RNAcentral's name for it is "Scedosporium prolificans Eukaryotic small subunit ribosomal RNA". It matches the Rfam family "Eukaryotic small subunit ribosomal RNA", at positions 455 to 1134 of the family's 1831-position model. The record is from Rfam by way of RNAcentral. Lineage: Eukaryota; Fungi; Ascomycota; Sordariomycetes; Microascales; Microascaceae.